ACGACUCUCGAAAGCGGAUAUCUCGGCUCUCGCAUCGAUUAAGAACGUAGCGAAAAGCGAUACUUGGUGUGAAUUGCAGAAUCUCGUGAACCAUCGAGUCUUUGAACGCAAGUUGCGCCCCAAGCCAUUAGGCUGAGGGCACGUCUGCCUGGGUGUCACGCAUUGUCGCCCCCAUCCAACCAUGAGCCCUCGAGCCUCCAUUGGACUGAGGGCAGAAAUUGGCCUCCCGUGCACUCACAGCCAGCGGUUGGCCUAAAUUCGAGUCCUUGACGACAUCAUCAUCGCGACGCUCGGUGGGUAAUGCUAUAAACAACCUCGUUCGGUGUCAUGCACAUUGGUCGAUCAGAAUCUUGAACCCUAUCGGCAUCGUAAGGACGGUGCUCGCAUCGCGACCCCAUGUCAGGCGGGAUUACCCGUUGAGUUUAAGCAUAUCAAUAAGCGGAGGAAAAGAAACUUACCACGAUUCCCCUAGUAAUGGCGAGUGAACCGGGAAAAGCCCAGCAUGAGAAUCGGUCGCCAUCGGCGUUUGAAUUGUAGUCUGGAAAAGCGUCCUCAGCGACGGACGGGGCCCAAGUCCCUUGGAAAGGGGCGCCGGAGAGGGUGAGAGCCCCGUCGUGCCCGGACCCUGUCGUACCACGAGGCACUGUCUACGAGUCGGGUUGUUUAUGAAUGCAGCCCUAAUCGGGCGAUAAAUUCUAUCCAAGGCUAAAUACGGGUGAGAGACCGAUAGCGAACAAGUACCGUGAGGGAAAAAUGAAAAGGAUUUUGUAAAGAGAGUCAAAGAGUGCUUGAAAUUUUCGGGAGGGAAGCGAAUGGGGGUCGGCAAUGCGCCCCAGUCGGAUGUGGAACGGCGAGAGGUGGUCCACCGAUCGGCUCGAGGCAUGGACUGACGCGGGUUGUGGUGGAGGCCCAAGCCCGGGCCUUUGAUAUGCCCGGGGACAUCGUCACCUCGAUCGUGGGAUUCAGCACACGCCAUCUCGACGUAGUUCGGCACUUGUGUGCUUCGAGCGUUGGCCUGCAGGCUCCCCAUUCGGCCCGUCUUGAAACACAGACCAAGGAGUCUGACAUGUGUGCGAGUCAACGGGCUAGAAAACCCGUAAGGCACAAGGAAGCUGAUUGGUGGGAUCCUUAGCGGGUACACCACCGACCGACCUUGUUCUUCUGAGAAAGGUUCGAGUGAGAGCAUGCCUGUAGAGACCCGAAAGAUAGUGAACUAUGCCUGAGCGGAGCAAAGCCAAAGGAAACUCUGGUGGAGGCCCAUAGCGAUACUGACGUGCAAAUCGUUCGUCUGACUUGGGUAUAUGGCCGAAAGACUAAUUGAACCGUCUAGUAGCUGGUUCCUUCCGAAGUUUCCCUCAGGAUAGCUGGAGCCCUUAGCGAGUUCUAUCGGGUAAAGCCAAUGAUUAGAGGCAUCGGAGGCACAACGCCCUCGACCUAUUCUCAAACUUUAAAUAGGUAGGACGGUGCGGCUGCUUCGCUGAGCCGCGCCACAGAAUCGAGAGCUCCAAGUGGGCCAUUUUUGGUAUGCAGAGCUGGCGAUGUGGGAUGAACCGAAAGCCGGGUUACGGUGCCCAACUACCCGCUAACCUAGAAUUGAAAAAGGGUGUUGGUUGAUUAAGACAGCAGGACAGUGGUCAUGGAAGUCAAAAUCCGCUAAGGUGUGUGUAACAACUCACCUGCCGAAUCAACUAGCCUCGAAAAUGGAUGGCGCUUAAGUGCGCGACCUAUACCCAGCCGUCUGGGCAAGGUAUAGAAGAACGUAAUUACUCUUAUGCACAAUACAACAUGCUAUAUAUCCUUCCAAAGUUUUGAAGAACAAAAUUCUGCUCUUGUUACUUUAAUUCUUGAAGAUAUGGUUUGUGGUGGGAGAAUCGUAGAAGAAAACAAUGGAAUCAACUUCGAAGAAGGUAACUUUGAGCAGCUCCGACGGGUGGACUUUCGAGGUGGAGGAAGCGGUUGCAUUCCAGUCUCAGACGAUCAAACACUUGUACGAAACAGGUUGCAUCGGUGACUUCAUCCCUGUCCCUAACGUCACUGGUGACAUCUUAUCCAUGGUUCUCUGAUACUGCGAGAAGCACGUAGAUUCGGAUACCAUCGCUGGCAAGGAAAGCUUCUACGAUAACAAACUCAAGCGCUGGGAUGCUCUUUUUUUCAAGGUUGACCAAAGCACCCUCUUCGACCUCAUCUUGGCGGCCAACUUUAUGAAUAUAAAUAGCUUGAUGGACUUGACAUGCAAAACUGUUGCCAACAUGAUGAAGGGGAAGACAACUAAGGAGAUUCGUGGUACCUUCAACAUCAAGAACGAUUACACCCCCGAGGCAGAAGAGAUGGUUAGGAGGGAGAACCAAUGGGCAUUCGAAUGAUUCAUAUCCAUACCCAUUGACACCUGGGCACUCGAAUGUGCGGGAGCGUCAGACACCAUCAGCAAACUAGGCCCUUGGUCGUGCGGGAGCCUCGGGCACCAUCGGCACCUUGGUGCUUGGAUGUGCGGGAGCCUCAGACAAUGUUGGCAUCCUAGGCUCUUGGUCGUGCGAGAGCCUCGGGCACCAUCGGCACCUAGGGGCUCGGAUGUCCAGGAGGCUCGGACACCAUCGGCAAACUAAGCACUUGGUCACGCGGGAGCCUUGGGCACCAUCGGCACCUCGGUACUCAGAUGUGCAGGAGCCUCGGGCAACAUCAGCAGAAUAGGCCCUUCGUCGUGUGAGAGCCUCGGGCACUAUCGGCACCUUGGUGGCUCAAAUGUGCGGGAGCCUCGAGCAGCACGGGCACCUUGGUGGCUCGGACGUGCGGGAGCCUCGGACACCAUCCGCAACCUUAGUGCUUGGAUGUGCCGGAGCCUUGAACACCAUUGGCACCUUAGUGCUUGGGAUGUGCGGGCUAAAGAAAAGCUUCCCCAUUUCAAACAGUCGAAUGUUUCCUGGUAGCACAUUGACGAAGUUUUUUUAGCUCUUUAAGGGGUAGAGAUCCGCUGCCCCCCGACGUAGCCC
This 2987-nucleotide ribosomal RNA is filed under the name Gossypium barbadense (sea-island cotton). RNAcentral's name for it is "eukaryotic LSU rRNA". The stretch from base 391 to 1857 matches the Rfam family "Eukaryotic large subunit ribosomal RNA". Lineage: Eukaryota; Viridiplantae; Streptophyta; Magnoliopsida; Malvales; Malvaceae. The record is from RNAcentral.